UACGUAGGGGGCAAGCGUUGUCCGGAACCAUUGGGCGUAAAGAGCGUGUAGGCGGUCCGAUAAGUCGGUUGUGAAAGUCCAGGGCUCAACCCUGGGAUGCCGACCGAUACUGUCGGACUAGAGUUCGGAAGAGGCGAGUGGAAUUCCCGGUGUAGCGGUGAAAUGCGCAGAUAUCGGGAGGAACACCUAUGGCGAAGGCAGCUCGCUGGGACGUUACUGACGCUGAGACGCGAAAGCGUGGGGAGCAAACAGG
Molecule: ribosomal RNA, 253 nt
Filed under: uncultured bacterium
Lineage: Bacteria
Description: partial 16S ribosomal RNA
Rfam family: Bacterial small subunit ribosomal RNA
Source: RNAcentral